This 492-nucleotide ribosomal RNA is filed under the name uncultured bacterium. RNAcentral describes it as "partial 16S ribosomal RNA". It matches the Rfam family "Bacterial small subunit ribosomal RNA", at positions 29 to 506 of the family's 1533-position model. The record is from RNAcentral.
AGUGAACGCUGGCGGUAGGCCUAACACAUGCAAGUCGAACGGCAGCACAGUAAGAGCUUGCUCUUACGGGUGGCGAGUGGCGGACGGGUGAGGAAUACAUCGGAAUCUACUUUUUCGUGGGGGAUAACGUAGGGAAACUUACGCUAAUACCGCAUACGACCUACGGGUGAAAGCAGGGGAUCUUCGGACCUUGCGCGAUUGAAUGAGCCGAUGUCGGAUUAGCUAGUUGGCGGGGUAAAGGCCCACCAAGGCGACGAUCCGUAGCUGGUCUGAGAGGAUGAUCAGCCACACUUGAACUGGGAAACCGUCCCGACUCCUAAGGGAGGGCGCAGGUGGGGAAUAUUGGACAAUGGGCGCAAGCCUGAUCCAGCCAUACCGCGUGGGUGAAGAAGGCCUUCGGGUUGUAAAGCCCUUUUGUUGGGAAAGAAAAGCAGCAGGUUAAUACCCCGCUGUUCUGACGGUACCCAAAGAAUAAGCACCGGCGAACUUCGU